This is a non-coding RNA of Labrus bergylta (ballan wrasse), 762 nucleotides long. The record is from RefSeq and is a predicted model, not a curated record. NCBI's taxonomy places the organism in Eukaryota, Metazoa, Chordata, Actinopteri, Labriformes, Labridae.
UUCUAACACAGUGUGUGUGUGUGUGUGUGUGUGUGUGCGCAGAGCGCAGUGUGUUUUUUAGAGGGAUCUUUGAGCGGUAUGAGAAAAGAGACGAUGAAGAAAGUAACUCAGGAAAUAUAGCGCUGGCAGUCCUGCUGUCGGUGGCCGUCUUGGCUCUGCUGGCGGUCAUCACCUACUGUUUCCUCAAGAACCGGAAAGAGCGCUCCCACAGGCCCGUCAGCACAGGCCCCGCCCACGUGGCGCUGUCAGAGCAGGACACGCUGGUCUACAACAGCACCACCAAACCUGUAUGACGUCAUCACCACCACAUCUCACUACCGUCACCAUGGAGACCUGUACCAGCUGCGGCCUGUUUAGAUUUCAAACAAACUUUAUUCAAACCUGCUGUGUGCAAAGGUUGUUUUAACGUGUUUUUUACAGUGUGCUGGGUUUGAUGUAAUAUAUUAAUGAUUCCUGUUUUUUACAGUGUGCUGGGUUUGAUGUAAUAUAUUAAUGAUUCCUGUUUUUUACAGUGUUCUGGGUUUGAUGUAAUAUAUUAAUGAUUCCUGUUUUUUACAGUGUUCUGGGUUUGAUUUGAUAUAUUCAUAAUGUCUGCGUUUGGGUCUCAGGUUUGUUUGUUUGUUUAGUGUGAUGUUUCUAAAUAUGAACUGAAUCCUCUCGGAGUUAUUUUCAUUUUUAAGAGAAAUAAAUAAACUGUCAUUUUAAAGAUGUUGAUGUAAAUCCCAGAAGAACUCAAAGAAAAUAAAAAUAAUAAUUCUAUAA